Equus caballus (horse) is the source of this 1737-nucleotide non-coding RNA. The record is from RefSeq and is a predicted model, not a curated record. NCBI's taxonomy places the organism in Eukaryota, Metazoa, Chordata, Mammalia, Perissodactyla, Equidae.
UCUCCAGGUCCACAAUGACUACCAUUCUUUUGCUCGCAAACCGAUACUUUAAGGAACCGAAUGAAAACUAGGAAGAAAAACCCACACCCUCUGGACCCCACCUGUAUCAGGUGACCUCCCCGCUCCCAUAACUAAGGCGUUUCCAAAUGCACCCCAAAUAGGGUACAAUUCCCCAACAUCCUGGUUAUGGGGUUCUGGCUUCUAUCUUUAGGCUACUAGAGGACCAGAAGUGAAAUACGACUCCACGUGAAACCAAUCCGGGGAGCAGUCAGCACCGACCGCCAGCCUCACAAGCCCAGGGCGUUCGCUCUAACUCCACGGGAGUGGCGAUUUCAAACCCAGCUGGGAGAGGGAGGGAUCAGGAACGUAAUGUGACAGGCUCAAGUGACAGCGUCCUCUCUCCAGCCCAACCCUCCCGGGCGGUGCUCCCUCCUAAUGGCAGUGCAGCGCCGGCCAGGUAUAUUCACGCUUUGCUCCCCCGGUGUGGACACCGCCCGCUCCAAGAACCAGCCUGGGCAAAGCCCACCGCACCAGCUCACGGAGCAGCCGAGCCGCCUGCGACGCCGCUCACCUCCGUCCCCGUAGGUCUCCACGCCGUACCCGUCCUGCAGCCCGUUACUCCAGGGCUGUAGGAUAUUUCCUUUUACAUCAGAACCUUCUCCCCCAGGACCUCAAUUGUUCUGACGACCUUAGAAAUUCUUCAGCCUGGAGCUGUGUACCCAACAGGCAGACGGCUCCGUCUUUGUAUGUUGUAUAAGUGUGGAGACACUGGUAUCCACAGUUUAAGAGACUAAAUAGAAGCUUUCAAGGAGGAAUAUGUAGAUAUCUUCCUUGGAAGGAACAUCCAUGAAAAGAGAGACUCUACUACCAGAUACCGUGGUUAAAUUUCAACUAAUCAGUCCUAAUCUGAUUCUGCCAUUGACUCUCUUCAUGGAAGAAAGUUAGGAUUGAAUUUUCGGUAGCUCACUGAACAAUUUCUGGGAAAGUCACCCUCCAGUGCCUGCUUCCAUGAACCUGUGGCCAUCACAAUGGAAUGUUUCCCCACUCUCACUAGUGUGUUCAUUAAUGUCGUGUUCAGGUUCCAUGGUCAUGGUUGGAGAAGACUGGGAAAGAGAACGAGGAGGAGGUGGGCGCUGAGAAGGAUGGCAGAGCGGAUCGUAGGCAGGGGAAUAAUGCUGCAGUUUACUAGGUAGGGUUAGUAAUGUCCUUAUUUUCCCUCUCGCUCCGAACCUUUGCCCUGGAUAAGGGGGAGUUGAAUUUAGCUUUAAGGAGGGAUUAGUAAGGAGAGAAUGUGAAAGUUGGUUGGACAGGUGGGGUGGGGGAGGCCUUUAAAGCCCAGGGGCCAACAGGCCCUCUAGCAGUUUGUUUUCCUCCACACUCAAAACCCAACUAUUGUAGAUUUCCAUUCUAGAACACUCUAACAAAAAGUAAGCCAUUCUGACUGUAAAUGUCUAGUAAGAACAUGUUGGCGAGGAUGCUUUGCUUAGAAUUUAAUCUUUUUUUUUACGCGAAAGUGUAUUUAAAAAUUUAUGAGUGACUUCAUUUUAUUUUUUAUUAGAAUUAAUUAUUGAGAAUUUUUAAUAAAAAAUUACAAAUGACACAAAGCUAAUCUGUAGGUGUGUAUUGACUCAAAGUGUGUAAAAAAAAAGCACAUACAAUUAAAAUUACUUGAUUUAUUAUGUAAGUCAAAAUGAGUAUUACUAGCACAUUUGUAAUAAAGCAUUCAUAAAAGGUUAA